AAACUGGGUCUAAUACCGGAUAUUCACUGGUCUCCGCAUGGGGGUUGGUGGAAAGUUUUUUCGGCUGGAGAUGGGCCCGCGGCCUAUCAGCUUGUUGGUGGGGUAAUGGCCUACCAAGGCGACGACGGGUAGCCGGCCUGAGAGGGUGACCGGCCACACUGGGACUGAGAUACGGCCCAGACUCCUACGGGAGGCAGCAGUGGGGAAUAUUGCGCAAUGGGCGAAAGCCUGACGCAGCGACGCCGCGUGGGGGAUGAAGGCCUUCGGGUUGUAAACCUCUUUCGCCAUCGACGAAGCCCUUCGGGGUGACGGUAGGUGGAGAAGAAGCACCGGCCAACUACGUGCCAGCAGCCGCGGUAACACGUAGGGUGCGAGCGUUGUCCGGAAUUAUUGGGCGUAA
This 400-nucleotide ribosomal RNA is filed under the name Pseudonocardiaceae bacterium ACTS12. Its description in RNAcentral is "bacterial SSU rRNA". It matches the Rfam family "Bacterial small subunit ribosomal RNA", at positions 154 to 563 of the family's 1533-position model. The record is from RNAcentral. Lineage: Bacteria; Bacillati; Actinomycetota; Actinomycetes; Pseudonocardiales; Pseudonocardiaceae.